This 951-nucleotide long non-coding RNA is filed under the name Phoenix dactylifera (date palm). Its description in RNAcentral is "long non-coding RNA (PDAC_LNC014112)". Lineage: Eukaryota; Viridiplantae; Streptophyta; Magnoliopsida; Arecales; Arecaceae. The record is from RNAcentral.
AGGCAUGAAGCAUUACAAAUUAUAUUUAGGAAAGAUCUUUGUUAUUUGAAUAUUGAAAACACAUAAUUCAAAACAUCAUGUCACAUGCAAAACAUAAUAUGCAUUAAGUCAUAACAUCAUGCAUUAAAACAUUAAGAGCAAGCAUGUCAAGGAUCAAAAUCAAUUCUUUUCAAAUAAACUCUUCCUAUUUAUAUAUAAUUCUACACUGAUUUUAUCCUUAAGGUGUGUUUUCAAGUGAUCGAAACUUCAUUUGGCUUUUCACAAGCUUCUUAUAUACUUUCGUUUAUCUUGUCAUUCAUUUCCUCAUUUUUGAAUUUCUUCCUUUAAGCACUUAGUGAACAUUCUGAUCUUCAUUUUCUUUUUGUUUUACUUUACUAUGCUCUAUACUCUAUUUGCUCCCUAUCCGGUGGAGUUGGAAGGGGCACAAGGUACAACUACUAGCCUCCCUCUUGUGCCGUCCCUAAUAUGCCCUACACCAAAAAGUUGGGUCAAAUAGUGCCGCGUACUACCACUAGCCUCUCCAUUGGCAUCAUCCCUAUGAUGAGCAAUAUAGAAAGGUUAAACCGUUUCCUUUAAAAAUGUUCACUCCAAAGUCUUCCUGUUUAAAUGUAAUUAAUUACGGAUUUUAUUCCUUCCAAAAGAAUACUCACACAAGUCUCACAAAUGUGCCGAAUAUAUUAUGCUUAUUUUGCUUUUCUUUAAGAUUGGAGUAUUUGCUUUUAUUUAGCUUUUAAUUUUCUUGAAUAAUGUUCAUUUUUUUCUUUAUCUCUCUCUCUUUUUGUUAGUCUCAAGUAAUUUACAUGAAAGAGUAGAAUGAAGAAAUAAUCUAAUGUAUCAUAUAGAUGUAUAUCAUGCAAACAAUAUUUUCAUUAUGCUCAAGAAUUCAUAGUUUAUCAGAAGUUAUUUUAAAUCAAAAUUUGAAGCAUAAACUUGUGUAUUUCAUGGUUAUGC